Molecule: long non-coding RNA, 2309 nt
Filed under: Solanum tuberosum (potato)
Lineage: Eukaryota; Viridiplantae; Streptophyta; Magnoliopsida; Solanales; Solanaceae
Description: long non-coding RNA (STUB_LNC003828)
Source: RNAcentral
UUCUUAACUCUUCUCCUUUGUUAACGUUGUAAUAUUUUGGCAGGCUGAUGUGUUGGAGCAUUUCACCUGAUUUCUUCCCUCUUGCCAUGACUUAGUUGUUGGAAGUUUCAGACUCACAUCUUUAACCUUGUUGUACUGUUAUGCAGAGAGAUGAGACAUUCAGUUCAUCCAGAUUGUGUUGGAGCAUUAAAUCAGUGGAUUAUGGACAUUAAUUAUGCUUUUUGUAGGAUUCGUUUCUGGGGAUUGCCUUCCAGCAUUGUUUUUCAAAUUUUAUUUUAAUGAUUUGUUGGAUUUUCUUGAUGACUAAUCACUGACUGUUUGUGUGUUUCUCUCCACUUUGGCUUCUUCACCACUAAUUCUGGGGAUUGCCUUCCAGCAUUGUUUUUCAAAUUUUAUUUUAAUGAUUUGUUGGAUUUUCUUGAUGACUAAUCACUGACAGUUUGUGUGUUUCUCUCCACUUUAGCUUUUUCACCACUAAUCCUCCUUUACUUUUUUCUUUUAACUUGGUUAUCUCUUUUACUUUUCUGGGGUCAUUUAACUAUUGAGAGUUCAGAAAGCAGCCUGAUGCUUGCCUCUGCUAUUCCUCCCAAAAGGUGAUGCAUCUUCAAAUUUUCAAGGUUCCCAGGGUAUGUGAAUUUGAUAGUAUGAUGACUGCAUUCACAUGUCUACGAAUUAAUUUUAUUACUCAUUCUGAUACAUUUUCCAGAUGUCUUGUGACAGGAAAAGAUGCUUGUAUUGGAAUAUGAUAUCCCGUGCUGGACUGAUUUGUGUUUGAAAAUUACUCUUCUUGUUGGGUAUCUUAAUUAGAACUUUAUUUUGGAUUUUCUGUGAUGUUUAUCAAGAAAGUUUUCUGUGCAAAUGGGAAUUUCUGUGAGGAUGAGUAGCAUUUAAAUGUGAUGGGCUAAACUAGGACAUUUCUAACCUGGUUAUGAACUUUUUAUUUGAAGGGGGCGGGGUGUGUGGGAAUCAAGUACAUGACUAUUUCAAUACUCUUCCAAUGAAGAGCACUGCUAUAGCAGGAAGCUAGCAGUCACUUUGAAUUUGACAUUGUUAUCUUAGAUUUUGAUUUGUGGCUCGGAAGUCUUAGAGAAACGGAAAGCACUAGCAGACAAAGUGGUUGAAUCACAUAGUAAAUAGGAGAUCUUGUGAGGAUGAAUAUAUUUGUACAUCUCUUCUUUUAUUCUUGUGAAUACAUAGUUGAGACAUUUCAAGCUACAUCUCCGCAGAAGUGUUUUUUCUACUUUUUGCUCUUCAGGGCUUUGCUCUCAUCCAAUCAUUUUCUUGAGAUGUAAUUUGUUUCUGUUAAUUUAUUUAAUUUUUUUGGGUAAAGAACUUGGGUGGGACGGGUGUUCACAAAUUAACUGUGGAUAGUUUUGGUUGGAACCCGAGACAUGGCUUCUUGUGUGGGUUCUCAUGUAGGAACUAUGCUCAUUAAUGCCUUAUAUUUCUGUUUGUCAUAGUGGGGUCUUCUCUUUACUGAUCCACCAAAUGUCUGGUAUUCUUGAGACAACUAGUACACCUAAAUGUCUUUGCUAAGAUUGUAGGACCAUUCAAGCUUCUGGUGUGGUCGAUCAUAUUUUUGCAUAGGGCUCUAUUGGGGUUGAGAUGUUGAGUAGUUGAACUUUAGCCUGUAUGGUGAGUUUGGAUAAUGUGUGGAAGCUUAGUAUUUCUGUUAAGCGUUGGUUUUGGCAUCUGGUAUUUUUGGAUAUAGGUUCACUAUUGCUGUAUUAUUUUGUUUCUUUUUCCUUUUUAAACCUUCUGUUUUAGACUAACUUCUUUCAGUUGGUUGUUAGUAGCGUGUACUGAUAGCAGGGAUGGCUCCCCAUUUCAGAAGAUCUCUUGAUUCAUCCUUUCACUGGUGGACAAGUUAAUAUUUGGCGUACAGGAAGAACUCAUCUAGGCACUUGUUAGUUCUGAAGAAUCAUUUGUAUUCUUUAGGUUAUAUUUGAACCUAUAUUUCUUUGGGGGUGGGGUGGGGGGUCUAUUUUUAGUUGUUUUUGCUUAACUAUACAUGAUUUUUCUUUCGUCUUUGUCCCCUCCUUUCCAUGAAUCAGGAUCUACUCGAAACUGGUUUGUUAGUAAAGAUGGUUGCCCGUCCCUAUUUUGUUUUGGUGGUCACAUCCUGGGCACGAUGUUCAUCAGUGUGAAGGUGGAUGCGUAAAUUAUUAUUUUUUUGGUAGUUGACCAAACAUUUCUGUUUACUUGCAAAAUAUCUCUCCUCUUUCUUUGUCCAUUGUUUUGUCUAGAAUUAGUGGGAGGUUGUCAAAUAGCUGGUUAACACUUGUUCGUGUUAAUUUGAUUUAUUAUCU